UGAUUAAUUGAUUUUAUUAGAAAAAAAUUAUACUAUUAACUUUAAUAUAAUUUAUUAUAAAUAUAAUAUUAAUUUCAUAAAAAAUUAGUAAUUUAUUUUAAAUUUUAUAAAUUUUAUAAUUUUGAGCUCACUAAAUAUAAAUUAUGGCAAUUUUGAUCUUACAAAAAAUUAGUAAUUUAUCAUAAAUUUUAUAAAUUUUACAAUUUUAACUCCGUUAAACAAAGUU
This 226-nucleotide long non-coding RNA is filed under the name Actinidia chinensis (golden kiwifruit). RNAcentral describes it as "long non-coding RNA (ACHI_LNC000362)". The record is from RNAcentral. Lineage: Eukaryota; Viridiplantae; Streptophyta; Magnoliopsida; Ericales; Actinidiaceae.